UACAUACUGUGCGAACGUUAUUCGGAUUCACUGGGCUUAAAGGGUGUGUAGGCGGCUUGUUAAGUAGGGUGUGAAAGCCCCCAGCUCAACUGGGGAACUGCACUCUAUACUGGCGAGCUAGAGUGAGAUAGGGGUGUGUGGAACUGCCAGUGGAGCGGUGAAAUGUGUUGAUAUUGGCAGGAACGCCGGUGGCGAAAGCGACACACUGGGUCUCAACUGACGCUGAGACACGAAAGCCAGGGGAGCAAACGGG
Molecule: ribosomal RNA, 253 nt
Filed under: uncultured bacterium
Lineage: Bacteria
Description: partial 16S ribosomal RNA
Rfam family: Bacterial small subunit ribosomal RNA
Source: RNAcentral